This 497-nucleotide ribosomal RNA is filed under the name uncultured bacterium. RNAcentral describes it as "partial 16S ribosomal RNA". It matches the Rfam family "Bacterial small subunit ribosomal RNA", at positions 28 to 507 of the family's 1533-position model. The record is from RNAcentral.
GAUGAACGCUGGCGGCGUGCCUAAUACAUGCAAGUCGAGCGAACAGACGAGGAGCUUGCUCCUCUGACGUUAGCGGCGGACGGGCGAGUAACACGUGGAUAACCUACCUAUAAGACUGGGAUAACUUCGGGAAACCGGAGCUAAUACCGGAUAAUAUAGUGAACCGCAUGGUUCAAUAGUGAAAGACGGUUUUGCUGUCACUUAUAGAUGGAUCCGCGCCGCAUUAGCUAGUUGGUAAGGUAACGGCUUACCAAGGCAACGAUGCGUAGCCGACCUGAGAGGGGGAUCCGCCACACUGGAACUGAGACACGGUCCAGACUCCUACGGGAGGCAGCAGUACGGAAUCUUCCGCAAUGGGCGAAAGCCUGACGGAGCAACGCCGCGUGAGUGAUGAAGGUCUUCGGAUCGUAAAACUCUGUUAUUAGGGAAGAACAAUUGUGUAAGUAACUAUGCACGUCUUGACGGUACCUAAUCAGAAAGCCACGGCUAACUACGUG